GUGGGGAAUAUUGCACAAUGGGCGCAAGCCUGAUGCAGCGACGCCGCGUGCGGGAUGACGGCCUUCGGGUUGUAAACCGCUUUUGACUGGGAGCAAGCCCUUCGGGGUGAGUGUACCUUUCGAAUAAGCACCGGCUAACUACGUGCCAGCAGCCGCGGUAAUACGUAGGGUGCAAGCGUUAUCCGGAAUUAUUGGGCGUAAAGGGCUCGUAGGCGGUUCGUCGCGUCCGGUGUGAAAGUCCAUCGCUUAACGGUGGAUCCGCGCCGGGUACGGGCGGGCUUGAGUGCGGUAGGGGAGACUGGAAUUCCCGGUGUAACGGUGGAAUGUGUAGAUAUCGGGAAGAACACCAAUGGCGAAGGCAGGUCUCUGGGCCGUCACUGACGCUGAGGAGCGAAAGCGUGGGGAGCGAACAGGAUUAGAUACCCUAGUAGUCC
RNAcentral lists this ribosomal RNA (434 nucleotides) under uncultured bacterium. RNAcentral describes it as "bacterial SSU rRNA". It matches the Rfam family "Bacterial small subunit ribosomal RNA", at positions 354 to 796 of the family's 1533-position model. The record is from RNAcentral.